UACGUAGGGCGCAAGCGUUGUCCGGAAUUAUUGGGCGUAAAGAGCUCGUAGGCGGUUUGUCGCGUCUGCUGUGAAAACCUAAGGCUCAACCUUGGGCUUGCAGUGGGUACGGGCAGACUAGAGUGCGGUAGGGGGUGACUGGAAUUCCUGGUGUAGCGGUGGAAUGCGCAGAUAUCGGGGAGGAACACCGGUGGCGAAGGCGGGUCUCUGGGCCGAUACUGACGCUGAGGAGCGAAAGCGUGGGGAGCAAACAGG
This 255-nucleotide ribosomal RNA is filed under the name uncultured bacterium. RNAcentral's name for it is "partial 16S ribosomal RNA". It matches the Rfam family "Bacterial small subunit ribosomal RNA", at positions 524 to 776 of the family's 1533-position model. The record is from RNAcentral.